RNA transcript from Homo sapiens (human), 2315 nucleotides. RefSeq lists it as uncharacterized. NCBI's taxonomy places the organism in Eukaryota, Metazoa, Chordata, Mammalia, Primates, Hominidae. The record is from RefSeq and is marked validated. The transcript has a single exon.
CAGGCCCUCUCAAUUUUUUGCCUAAAAUGUCUCUUUCAAAUCCUAGCUUCUGAAUUCCUUUCCCACACUUUCAUCUCUCCUUUCUGUAAUUUACUACUUUUUCCAUUUGAUCAUCAGAACGUGUUAACAUAAUAACAAUCCUUGAUACUUGAGGGAUCUUCUCUUACCAAGUGCUUUCACAUAAAUGAUCUCAUUAAAUCUUCCUAUCGCUGUGCUUGGUAAGUAGUGUUCGGUGUCGAAUUAAUGACCAUGCCCCUUUCCCACAAAGAACAUGGUUUUACUCCCAGGGUUUCCUUAUAUAAAACUCUAAGGCCCUGGACAUCAACAUGGACACACACACACACACUCUCACUCACAAAUAAGGUACAUAGCUUCUCACCUGCACACACACACAUUGUGUGGAACUCCUCUGGGUUCAAUAAGUUAGGAGAGGUAUCUUAGCUUAUGCUACAAAGACAGUCAUGAUCUUUAUGCAAAUUCUAGAGCCCCAAGAGGUCCCUAGUUUCUUGAUGAUCUGCCAAAGGCGCUCACCUGCCAUGCACAGGACAUGCACGGAUCAUGCACCCCUAGCCAUAGCUCAGGUCUGGCUUUGGGUGAGCCUGGCCAAGGCUGGAAGCAACAGGAGAGGGCCUGGCAGAGCAGAGGGGACCUUUUUUUCCCUGCUCGCUGCCCUGCAUGCUGCUCAGCAUUUUCCAAACCUCCCCACUGCUCCUGGUGGGGCUUCACAAUCGAACAUUGUCAGCCCAGAGCUGACACCCAAGCCGACCACAGCCCUAAAGCAUGCUGAGUGCCUCUUGGACCUGAAUUCCCAUAGUCUGUACCGAAAGCCACGCCCCAAGGCUGCAGUUUACCUCAAUCUCAGUUUGCCUUUGAAAUCUGUUCACAGGCUAUCUCUGAAAAAGUCCUUUGGGUUUGGAAAACGGGACUUUGAAAACAAUUCCGUUUUUAUUGUAGAUUCAGGGGGCACGUGUGCAGGUUUGUUACCAGGGUAUAUCGGGUGGUGCUGAGGUUUGGGCUUCUAUGGAUCCCAUCACAGAAAAUGGGACUUUUCAUUAAUAAAGGCUCCCGAGGGCUUAAUCCAGAGCUGGGUUCCCCAUGCGUGCUCAGUAAAGAUCUGCUGAUGGAUGGGUUACAACACCCCGCCACCUUCAGUUUUCUGUUUUGAAGUAGCUUUGUUAGAGAUGUUCAGAUUUCUGUUCUCUGCAUUUAUUUUUAUUUGAGUCCAGGAAUCAAAUGAUGAUGCUAUCUGGUCCCAGCAGCCUAGAAAGGCAGCUCUCCCAAGCAUUUCUCAGAGGCUACACUUUACAUGAGUCCUAGGCAAACAGAGAGGAGGCCCACCCCACAUUACAUACACUUCCCGAGGGCCCAGGCCCUGCAUAGGCUCUUGGCUAAGAUGCUGCUUUCAGAGUUGGAGAGGGGAGCUGUUUGCUGAGUUUUCUGACACUCUUAACUGUUCAACUGGGCAGAGUUGUGGUUUGUUCAGAGAAGAAGCUUGUAUUUAGGGAAAAAGUCAUGGACAAUGAAUUUCUAACUAAUAGAACAUAUUUCAGAAAGGCUGUACGAUGAAGCAGAAAGAGCUGAAAAUUUGGGUUUGGAAGACCUGGGUCCAAGUCCUGUUGUCGCAACAUACCAGUGGUGUGGUCCUGGGCAGGUUACUGUGAGCCUGUUUCCUCACCUGUACAAUGGGUAUAGUAAUAAUAAUGAUCAUAACUUACAGGGUUGUUGGGAACCCUUGAAUGAAAGAAUGAAUCUGACCAGAUGUGGUGGCUCACGCCUGUAAUCUCAGCACUUUGGGAGGCUGAGGCGGAGAGAUCACCUGAGGUCAGGAGAUCGAGACCAGCCUGGCCAACAUGGUGAAACCCCAUCUCUACUGAAAAUACAAAAAUUAGCUGGGCGUCAUGGCAGUCGCCUGUAAUCCCAGCUACUCGGGAGGCUGAGGCAGGAGAAUCGCUGGAACCCGGGAGGCAGAGGUUGCAGUGAGCCGAGAUUGCGCCAUUGCACUCCAGCCUGGGGGACAGAGGAAGACUCCAUCCCCCCCCACAAAAAAAAAAUUAAUCUGAAGCAUCUGAGGCUGGGCGCAGUGGCUGUAAUUGCAUCCAAGAGUUCAAAACCAGCCUUGGCAACAUAGUGAGACCCUGUCUCUACAAAAAUAAAAAAUAAAAAAAUUAACCAGGCAUGGUGGCACAUGCCUAUAGUCCCAGCUACUCGGGAGGCUGAGGUGGGAGGACUGCUUGAGUCCGGGAGGUUGAGGCUGCAGUGAAUUAUGAUUGUGCCACUGCACUCCAGCCUGGGUGAUGGAGCGAGACCCUGUAUCG